ACACACCGCCCGUCACACCAUGGGAGUGGGUUGCAAAAGAAGUAGGUAGCUUAACCUUCGGGAGGGCGCUUACCACUUUGUGAUUCAUGACUGGGGUGAAGUCGUAACAAGGUAACCGUAGGGGAACCUGCGGUUGGAUCACCUCCUUACCUAAGAGA
This 158-nucleotide ribosomal RNA is filed under the name Pseudomonas sp. HMSC066A08. Its description in RNAcentral is "partial 16S ribosomal RNA". It matches the Rfam family "Bacterial small subunit ribosomal RNA", at positions 1385 to 1533 of the family's 1533-position model. The record is from RNAcentral. Lineage: Bacteria; Pseudomonadati; Pseudomonadota; Gammaproteobacteria; Pseudomonadales; Pseudomonadaceae.